This 740-nucleotide ribosomal RNA is filed under the name Severianoia blapticola. RNAcentral's name for it is "partial large subunit ribosomal RNA". It matches the Rfam family "Eukaryotic large subunit ribosomal RNA", at positions 383 to 902 of the family's 3401-position model. Lineage: Eukaryota; Metazoa; Nematoda; Chromadorea; Rhabditida; Thelastomatidae. The record is from RNAcentral.
GAGAGUUCAUCAGGGCGUGAACCGCUGAGAAGGAAGCGGAUAGAGUUGACGAAACUCAGUGGCAUUCAUCCGGCGAUUGUCUGUCGACGGCUGCCUUGUGUUGACUGCUCCUCUCGGGGGGUGGCUGCUUGGUGGUUUGGGCCGAUGGGUUUUGCUGGUGCUUUUGCCAUUGGUAUGCGCUGAGAAGUUCGCUGUGGUGCGUUAAUACCUGCUUGAAAGAGGACCACUGCCGUAUGGUUGUGGAAACCUUUUGCAGGUGGAGGCGUAUCCGUGGUGAAUGCUGUUCGCAGUGCUACGCUUGCUGGUUUGUGCAACGGUUGUCGCUGGCUGAUAUGGCUGUUGGGCGGUCGCAUGCGACUUGCCUACAGUUGAUUGUUGGCCAGUUUGGCAAUGCCAUCUGUUGCAUUGGCGUACGCAUCUCGGUGUGAAAGUUGACCACCUAUCCGACCCGUCUUGAAACACGGACCAAGGAGUUUAGCAUAUGCGCAAGUCAUUGGGUGGUAAACCUAAAGGCGUAAUGAAAGUAAAGAUCGCUUUAAGCGGUUGAUAUGGGAUCUGUGCAGUUUUCAAAAGAUGCAAGUCGCUGCACAGCGCACCAUAGCCCCGUCCCCGUUGCUUGCAAUAGGGCGGAGGUAGAGCGCAUACGCUGAGACCCGAAAGAUGGUGAACUAUGCCUGAGCAGGAUGAAGCCAGAGGAAACUCUGGUGGAAGUCCGAAGCGGUUCUGACGUGCAAAUCGAU